ACCAAAAUGAGUGUUACUAUCUUGAUGAAACUGAAAGCAGGUUGAUUGAAUUCACAUUCACAAAUAUAAAAAAAUAAAACCUUAUAGAAACCAUCCACAGUAAAACAGAAUAUACUCCCCUCCUUCCCAAAAUAAUAACUUGUAUAGGUUUAAAUUUGUCUUAAAAAAUAGCAUUCUACAAAAGCAUGGGACACUACCUCCUAAUGUGGAAGCUAAUCACGGGUGCAUGCAAACUAUAACUACCAAAUCCAAAGAGAUAUCCUCCGGGAAAGGAAAGGAAAUGAGGGUAAAUAUGUUUGCCAACAUUUUUAAUCUGUGAGAAAAUUAUUUUGGCAUGCCAGCUGCGCCUUUCCUAUUGAUUUGCACCCAACCCAAACCAAGAAAGAUUUAUGAUUCACUUAAUGGUGCAUUUGCACUUGAUAACUUCCGUUAGAAUAUGAAACACUAUAAUUUCAGUAUACAAUUGAAGAAUUAAAUGAAAAACAGUUAAAACAAUAUUCAAGCAAGGUCACACUUCUCAGGUUGUUUUCAUGUUCCUUUCAUGUGUAUCCAUUUGUUUCUCUUUUCUUAUAUCAUGUUUAAGCUGGCAGAAUCAAUGUAGAUCAUGGAAGCUAGCAAAAGAUAAAGACAAACAGAAGGAGAACAUGUGGUAUUUAACAAAAAUGUUCAACUUAAACAUAGCCAGACAAUCAUAAUCAUAACAUUUAAAGUUCUUCAAACACACACCGCAAAUGAUAUGACAACCAAACAAAGGAGUAGACUAGACAGAGAACAUGCAAUCAGUGGAGACUGCAAUCUAAAAUUCUAAUUUGACAUCACGUUAAGUAUAAACUCUAUAUGUGAUGUUAUUCAAACAUAUUUGAAGGCCCAAAGUUUGAACUACAAAGUUGCUGAUGUGUGUGGUUAAUGAUUUCUAGGAAUUUACACUUUGAUUUUCAGCACAAAUUUGCAGGUCAGCUCUAGGUUAGAAAAGGCGCUAGGCGGUGACCCAUCGCCUGCCUAGGCGUUUUUCUAGGCGGUGGCUAAUACAUGCAUAAAUACUUAAAAGAAAAGGAAAAAAAAAAGGAGAUCAGUGGCCAUGGAAUAGGGAGAAAGAGGAGAAGCCGAGAAGGCCCAUUUAAUGGCCCAACUCUCCCACAUUACAGCCUCUCCAGCAUCUCUCUCGCCUGCAUCUGUCUGCGCCAGCCGCCGCCAGUUCCUCUCCCUCUCCUGCAUCUCUCUCUCACCUGCAUCUCUGUCUGCGCCCGCCGCCGCCAGUUCCUCUCCCUCUCCCGCAACUCUCUCUCAGUCCGUGCCUGUCGCCACAGGUUCGUUGCCCUCUCCCGCAUCUCUGUCUGCGCCCACCGCCGCCGGUUCCUCUCCCUCUCCCGCAUCUCUCUCUCUCUCUCUCAGUCCGCGCCCGCAUACACCCACGCCCACUGUCCGACUCCGCCCGAGGCUGCUCCUCCCCCACCAGCCCGACGUCCCUUCCUCCUCCACCGCCUAGGUACCACCUGCCCCCCUAGGCAAGGAGGUACCCUUCCGCUCAGCGUGGAGGCGUGCCUAGGCGAGCACGGAACAGCGCCUUGUUGAACACUAGACUUAGGAAGGGACAUGAAGGAGGCAAGCGGGCUUGACGAUGGAGAUGAGAGGCGGAGCAUAUGACGAAGGAGACGACCAAACAAGGUUAGGGCAAGGGGACCAUUGCUAUGUCGACGUUGGGGAGGGGAAGAAGGAAUGUGCUGAGGGUGCGCUAGGUUUCACCAGGAGAAGCCCAUUUGUGAGUGCCAUUCGUACGUGUGUGAUGUGGCUUUGCCUUUGGAAGAAAGGGCGAGGAGAAAGGCAAGUCCAACACGAGGAUCGCAGGUCAACAUACAACAGCACCGAAUUUGCAGGGAUCCACAGUUCCACACGCCAUCGACUUCACGAACGGAGACCAUAUGAUCUGAUAUACUGUACAGGAACGAGGGAGGGUAAAAAUAUGCUACCAUACAGCCAACACAACACGGUGGCUAUUUGGGAAAAAGGAAGGAAAAAAAAGGAGGGCAGUGGCGGCCUAGUCGGUAGUAGUUGGUAGACGCAACAGCCGCUCUCCAAAAGCGGGCAGAAUAUUCAACCUGGCAAAGAGAUCUUUCCCUUCCCCUUUGCUGUGGAAUCUGCGACAUGGCAUCGUAUUAUGCCCCGACAGACUCUAGCAUAUGAUGAGUUGCGAUUGCAACUCCACAUCAACACUCAGAAUCAAAUUCAAUUACAUGAUGCAAGCCACUGGUCACAGUGUAAUUCACAAUUGAUCUUCCAAGAGUAAAACAAGUGACCAUCAUAAAGUCACAACCAUUUAAAAGGAAUCUGUCAAUUUCAAGCAAGUUCUCAAUUCCACAACACCAUCAUAUUGGAAUGGUUCCACCCCAGCAUCCAAAGCAGCACGUAGCAAAAUUGCGCAACAGCAGCUCUAUUUCAGUUAAGUGAAGCUGUCUUCUAAUGUGAGAUUCACAUUCUGAAAAUGGCUGAUGCACAAAGAUCGUAAUAGAGAGGAAUUGCAGAAAAAGGAGCUCCAUGUUUUGAAAAAUAGGCAACGGAAACAUAAAUAUAAACACUUUGCAAGAUUCCUUCUUUUGCCAUAGCUCAUGAAAAACAGUUACAUUACUUUCCAAGCUAAAAGAAUGGCAAGAAAUGGAGCAAACUACCAGCAUUCCGAAUGAUAAUUUGUUCCUCUAUUCACAAUAAAGUCACAUCACAUUGCUUUCAUUAUGUUCUCACAAGAGUGAUUCAUCUGCCUUCCAUUGAACAGAUUUCUAGCCUUCCAAUUCCAAAGGACAACAGAGAAUCAGCUAUUGGAGGUCUAAGUCUUAUCUUCUCUUGCCCACACCCAGAGCACAAGCAUCAAGUCGCAAAAAAAA
Molecule: long non-coding RNA, 2876 nt
Organism: Sorghum bicolor (sorghum)
Lineage: Eukaryota; Viridiplantae; Streptophyta; Magnoliopsida; Poales; Poaceae
Exons: 4
Source: RefSeq, a predicted model, not a curated record